AAAAUAAUAAUUCUUUGAUUUUUUCAACUUCUAUGAAGAAACUAAGAUAUUCCUAGAAGUAUCCUUCGGCCAAACAAUACCGGAGUGUGCUGCCAUGGAAACCGAAUCCGCCUUGAAACAGGAUUAAUGCUAACAUUCCCAGGAUUAAUGCUAACAUUCCAAACAUAACAGUUCCAUAUCCAAAAUAAUCAAAAAAAACAAAAUCAAAUUUCAAAAUAACUAGAACCCAAAAUCUGAACAGAAAUAACAUAAUAAAAACCAAACUUCGCCGAAAUAUAAGUCGAAUACCAACCGGAUAGAGAAUGGCGAAGGCGAGAUCUGCGUCAACCUUUGCUAUCGUCGGAAAUGGUGAGAACCGACCUUGGACACGGCUUGGAAAUUAUAGAAAUGCGGACUUUGAUUUGUUGUUUGGAAGAAUUCUGCAGUAAACUCGAAGCCAAAUAUCAGUAAGUAAAUCAGAAACUUCAGCUUCUGUUGAGUCGAAGUUACCGACACGAUGGCGGUAUCUCGGAUGCGAGGUUAACAAAAGAGGAUAAAACCGGCGAGGAACAAUGAAGGUUGUUUUGUGGGUUUCAGCGGCGGAGUGAAGGUUGUUGAGGAAGGUGAGCGGCGGUAGUGGUGUGGUCGGUCUUUGAGAUGUUGGUGGUGACGCGCGGUAGGUUUAUUUGCUGGUGGUGGGGUUUUGACGGUUGAGUUUGAAGAAGAUGAAGGGCUUCGCGUUUUUUGACGGCGGAAAGGGUUUUGGAUGGGUUGCGAGCGGUGGAUUCGCGAGGGUAGAGAAGCGGUUAAGAUGGGGAAGAUGCUGGUUUACGGUGGCGUCGCGAGGUGGAAUCGUGUGAGGUUGGUGUGUUUGCGAAGAAGAAGACAAAGAGGGUUUUUGAGGGUUUUUAGUGUAGCGAGAGAAAG
Molecule: long non-coding RNA, 906 nt
Filed under: Lathyrus oleraceus (garden pea)
Lineage: Eukaryota; Viridiplantae; Streptophyta; Magnoliopsida; Fabales; Fabaceae
Description: Pisum sativum (pea) long non-coding RNA (PSAT_LNC015740)
Source: RNAcentral